This 497-nucleotide ribosomal RNA is filed under the name uncultured bacterium. RNAcentral describes it as "partial 16S ribosomal RNA". It matches the Rfam family "Bacterial small subunit ribosomal RNA", at positions 28 to 507 of the family's 1533-position model. The record is from RNAcentral.
GACGAACGCUGGCGGCGUGCCUAAUACAUGCAAGUAGAACGCUGAAGAGAGGAGCUUGCUCUUCUUGGAUGAGUUGCGAACGGGUGAGUAACGCGUAGGUAACCUGCCUUGUAGCGGGGGAUAACUAUUGGAAACGAUAGCUAAUACCGCAUAACAAUGGAUGACACAUGUCAUUUAUUUGAAAGGGGCAAUUGCUCCACUACAAGAUGGACCUGCGUUGUAUUAGCUAGUAGGUGAGGUAAUGGCUCACCUAGGCGACGAUACAUAGCCGACCUGAGAGGGUGAUCGGCCACACUGGGACUGAGACACGGCCCAGACUCCUACGGGAGGCAGCAGUAGGGAAUCUUCGGCAAUGGGGGCAACCCUGACCGAGCAACGCCGCGUGAGUGAAGAAGGUUUUCGGAUCGUAAAGCUCUGUUGUAAGUCAAGAACGGGUGUGAGAGUGGAAAGUUCACACUGUGACGGUAGCUUACCAGAAAGGGAGGGCUAACUACGUG